The sequence is an unclassified non-coding RNA, 195 nucleotides long. The stretch from base 1 to 46 matches the Rfam family "Eukaryotic small subunit ribosomal RNA", at positions 1786 to 1831 of the family's 1831-position model.
AAGUCGUAACAAGGUUUCCGUAGGUGAACCUGCGGAAGGAUCAUUAUAAGAUUUUCAUAUGUUAAAUUUAUUUAAUAUAUAAAAUUAUAUACAAAAUGUAUUCAAAACCCACACUCUUUAUAACCAUAAAAAAAAAUAUAAUAUAUUUAUAAUAUAAUAAAAAAACAACUUUCAACAACGGAUCUCUUGGCUCUC